CGGAAGGUCCGGGCGUUAUCCGGAUUUAUUGGGGUUUAAGGGGAGCGUAGGCCGCCAGGUAAGCGUGUUGUGAAAUGUACCGGCUCAACCGGUGAAUUGCAGCGCGAACUGUCUGGCUUGAGUGCACGGUAAGCAGGCGGAAUUCAUGGUGUAGCGGUGAAAUGCUUAGAUAUCAUGAAGAACUCCGAUUGCGAAGGCAGCUUGCUGCAGUGCGACUGACGCUGAUGCUCGAGGUGCGGUAUCAAACAGGAUU
This 253-nucleotide ribosomal RNA is filed under the name uncultured bacterium. RNAcentral's name for it is "partial 16S ribosomal RNA". It matches the Rfam family "Bacterial small subunit ribosomal RNA", at positions 526 to 779 of the family's 1533-position model. The record is from RNAcentral.